Molecule: ribosomal RNA, 301 nt
Filed under: uncultured bacterium
Lineage: Bacteria
Description: partial 16S ribosomal RNA
Rfam family: Bacterial small subunit ribosomal RNA
Source: RNAcentral
CAGCCGCCACGGGAACACGUAGGGUGCGAGCGUUAAUCGGAAUUACUGGGCGUAAAGCGUGCGCAGGCGGUUUUGUAAGACAGGCGUGAAAUCCCCGGGCUCAACCUGGGAAUGGCGCUUGUGACUGCAAAGCUAGAGUGCGGCAGAGGGGGAUGGAAUUCCGCGUGUAGCAGUGAAAUGCGUAGAUAUGCGGAGGAACACCGAUGGCGAAGGCAAUCCCCUGGGCCUGCACUGACGCUCAUGCACGAAAGCGUGGGGAGCAAACAGGAUUAGAUACCCCCGUAGUCCCUGUCUCUUAUAC